AGCUUUGAGCAGGGGCUGUUUUACAGUUAGUAAGUUUUCAAUGAGGUGAAAUUAUUACUAAUUCAACUAUCCCAGUAUCUCACCAUGAUGACCUGAAAUAUAGUCAACACUGGCAAUUUUUCAUAGUCUCUAAGAGA
Small nuclear RNA from Meriones unguiculatus (Mongolian gerbil), 137 nucleotides. RefSeq annotates it as U4 spliceosomal RNA. The transcript has a single exon. The record is from RefSeq and is a predicted model, not a curated record. NCBI's taxonomy places the organism in Eukaryota, Metazoa, Chordata, Mammalia, Rodentia, Muridae.